Long non-coding RNA from Prosopis cineraria, 5015 nucleotides. RefSeq lists it as uncharacterized. Lineage: Eukaryota; Viridiplantae; Streptophyta; Magnoliopsida; Fabales; Fabaceae. The transcript is spliced from 5 exons. The record is from RefSeq and is a predicted model, not a curated record.
AAAGAAUAAACAGUUACAGCAUGUAUGCAUAAUAUAUUUAUUGGGCCCAACUAUUUUAGACUCUUGAACUUAUUAUUUGUAUUGGGAUUUAGCUUGCACUUCACUUUAGUAUGGGCUUCUUUCUGCUUUAUCUUAACAUUUCCCUUCAAAUGAGAGGUGAUGGGGCUGUGCACCAGACCGAGUUUGUCGCAAAGUGUGCAGAAACGCGUUUGAGUCAGAGCUUUUGUGAACAUAUCAAUGAUUUGGUCAGAUGAGGGAAUAUAUCAUACCAUCGGUUUUUGACUGAGGACUCUAUCAUGGAUGAAGUGCACAUCGAUCUUGAUGUGCUUGGAUCUGGCGUGAAGAACCAGAUUUGAAGCUAGAGCUGCAGCACUCACGUUAUCGCACCAGGCAAUUCGAACUCGAGAUAGAGGGAAGCUAACUUCUGAGAUGAGACAUUGAAGCCAAGUUAACUCAGCUGCGAGAUCGACCAGGGCACAGUACUCAGACUCAGUGCUCGAUAGAGAGACAACACGUUGCUUCUUACUUGACCAAGAAAUUAGAGAGUCACCAAGGAAGACAUAGUGACCACCGACAGACCUGCGAUCAUCUGGACAUACUACCCAGUCAGCGUCUAAAAGCCCUUGUAAGGUGAACUGGCAUAUAGCUAAGGCAAAUUUUGCUGUAAAGAAGAGACAGAAGUGGAAUGUGAGUUUGGUUCAGAUGCAGAAAUCUAACCACCUACAAUAGUGGUUGAGCUUGGACAGAAACUUAGGCGAAAUGAACUGAGUGGUGCAAAGAAGAUGCUUGGAUCUACUUGUUCUUGAGCAAAGAAGAAGCUUUUCUUCUCUCCUUUGGCAUCAUCCGUGAGCUUAGGUGUGGCUGAAGCUAUUGUAUUUUGGUUUGUGAUAUUGUAGCUGACUCUGCACUUCCUACUAAUCAUUGAGAGGCCUCAUAGUUUUUUUGUACAGUGGAAGUACCUUUUGAUUGUCUCUUAGGUAAAAACUAUAUUGUGGUGUUAGGUUGUAAUUUAGUGCUUCACGUGUAUCAUAGUUAGAUUUUAGUUUUAUUUUGCUAAUAUAUAAUCUGCUGAUGUGGAGCUAAGCUCCUUUGUUGAAUUGGAUGAUAGGUUUUAUUAUUGUAGAAAUUUUGGGAGGUCUAAUUUAGGAGGGAGACUGUUGAAAUUUUUACAAAAUAUUUAAGAUUUUUUUAUAACCUUAUAAUUAUAUAUAUAAAUUAGUUAUCAAUAUUUUAGCUUAACCUCAUAAUUACGGCUUAUGGAAUGUAAGUUUAUCUCAGAUUCUGUGCCGAUCAUACCCUUUGUACUGGGGUGUGACAGCUUCAUCUUUGGUUUUUAAAGGAUAAAUCCAGAAUAACGAUUGCAGUCAUCAAGAAAUAAAAUAUAAUAUUGAAAGUCAUGUGUGGAGGCUAGGGGAGAGGGACCCUAUAGAUCUGUAUGUACUAAUUCAAAAGGUUUAGUGGCAUGUGAAGGAGAUAGUUUGAAUAGUAGAGAAUGCGAUUUACCAAAUUUGCAUGACUCACAAAACAAAGGCUCUUCUUUACCAAUAAUUUUCAAAUUACAUUCAUUAAUAACUCUUUGCAAAAUCCUAUCAUUUAGAUGUUAAAGUCUACAAUGCUAAUAGUUUCUUGCUAGUUUUAGAAUUAAAACUAUUUUUCAAUGCUGUAUCAUCUACAUUUUCAGCAACAAAAGUUAGAUCUUCUCUGCUACCAUUCUUUUGAGCCUUUCUUUCGUGAAUGCAAAACAUGCCACUAGUUGGUUGCCCCUACAAUAUCACUAGCCCUGUUUCUUGAGACUUAACACAAACACCACUUAAUUAAACACCAUAUCAGCAUAAUUAUCAGCAGCUACUUUGUACACAUUGAUCAGAUUUUUAUUAGCUUCAUGUCACGGAUGAUAUUUCCGUGACCGUGUAAAGACCAAGAUAAUGAACGGUCCGCUGGUUAGCCUCGCACAAUAUGGGUAAAGGGGGCGACAUUAGCAUUAGGGGUGUUCUGCCUCAGUCUUCAGACUGUGUGCACAACUGGUCGGGGGCUAGUGCCGCCUCCCUGAUGAGCCCAUGGCAGGGCGAAACCAGUGUGAUCCGUACGUGGUAAGGCUUGUCCUGAGGAUUAUGGGGUCCUCCAGGACGCCGCACGGGCGCCGUGUGCUGCGCCAGACUCUCAGCCCGUGACAGAGUGGUAUCAGAGCAGGACGUACUUUACUGUCGUGUGUGCGUGGGGUCCCACGUUGGGACUGGUCGGCCUCGGCACUGCUCCAGAAAGGCCUCCGUGCAGGUGGGUCCAAAAGUGGGGACUCGGGCGGGAAGGUUGGCCGUUGUCGACUCCACUCCUGUUGGCUCGCGGGUGCGAGUGGGUCCGAAGAGUGCAGGACUCGGGUGGCCACUCAGCAAGUAAGCUGGUGUGUUUGUGGCAGUACUGUACGCACGAUCCUUGGGCGGAGUCGUUCUCCCCUAGCACGAGGGCGUGCUAGAUUGGGUGUGGGAGAAUGUCACGGAUGAUAUUUCCGUGACCGUGUAAAGACCAAGAUAAUGAACGGUUCGCUGGUUAGCCUCGCACAAUAUGGGUAAAGGGGGCGACAUUAGCAUUGGGGGUGUUCUGCCUCAGUCUUCAGACUGUGUGCACAACUAGUCGGGGGCUAGUGCCGCCUCCCUGAUGAGCCCAUGGCAGGGCGAAACCAGUGUGAUCCGUACGUGGUAAGGCUUGUCCUGAGGAUUAUGGGGUCCUCCAGGACGCCGCACGGGCGUCGUGUGCUGCGCCAGACUCUCAGCCCGUGACAUUCAGGAUUGUCAAUGCGAGCAAGGUCAUUAGUUACAUGACUAGUGGCCCCACUAUCAAGAUACCAAGCAUCAUCCACAAUUGUUUCAAGAGUUUCCUAAAAAGCAUUGUACUUAGAGGAGGAGGAGGAAGAAUUUUUGCCAUUCUAAUUCUGUUUUUUGCAUCCUCCUUUAGUAAAGUUUCUGUCAAACCGAUAGAAGCACUGCUCAACAUGUCUGAACUUGUCACACAAUUAGCAUUGAGGACGUUUUGAGUUGCUAAAAUUCCUGAAGCAAUUUGAAUAUUCACCACCACCUCGACUAUUCCUGCCUCAUCCUUUGUGACCACCAUGACCACGAGAACGCCAUCUGGGGCUAGAUGAAAAUUGAGCAUGAGCAAUAUUAGCAAACUGUUGAGAAGUUUAAAGAUGAGAAACUUGUGUUAGUUGUUCAACAUGACUUUGAAAUGCAAGCAAUUCAGCUUGGAAAUCAAUCUAACUCAAUUCAUCUGACUCCUUAGCAAGCUGAACAACUACUAGAUUGUACUCAGAAUCAAGACCAGCAAAAGUUUAGAGAAUCAAAUUAGGCAUGGGAAUGGGAUGACCAGCAGUAGUGAGUUAUUCUGAGAGAUGUUUCAUUUUAGAUAAAUAAUCAUUCAUAGAGGAUGUACCCUUUCUGGUACAUUGGAUUUCAGUAUAAAGCAUAAGAAUCCUAGCCUUUGUUUGUGCUCUAGCAAGGUAUUUUGCUGCUUUCCACAGAGUAGUAGAAGUAACAUGAGUCAUUUAAGAAGAAAUAUCCAAGGUUAUUGUGUUUAAAAGCCAUCCAAAAAGAAUCUGAUCAGCUGCAACUUAGUCUUCGAAUUUUGGGUUAAGUUUGGUGGCAUCAUUUUUUGUAAUAAAUUGAGCAGGGCAAGGUUUUGUCCCAUUAAGAAAGCCUUCAAGCUUAAAACCUUGAAUAAUGGGCAAAACAUGAGUCUGUAAGACAAUAAAGUUGGUUCUAUCCAACUUGAUAGCAACCUUAGUGGGUAAAGAUGUGGGAGGUCCACUAGUAGCCUUCCUAAGAUUGGUGGCAACAAGAAAUGAGCUGGUAGAGUUGUUGGAAGACGUGUGGACUAAUUGUUCUUAAGCCAUAGCUGUGCUUUGAUACCAAGAUAAAAUUACUUUGACAGUGAAAUGUAUAUUGUCAGCUACAAACCUCAAGGCAAAGAGAGCCUUAAAUAGAUAGGUUACAAACCUUAGACAGUAGGGUAAAUAAAACAUGUGUACAGUGAUAAAGAAUAAAGAAUAAAUAGUUACAGCACGCAUGUACAAUAUAUUAGUUAGGCCCAACUAAUUCAGACUCUUGGACUUAUUAUUUGUAUUGGGCUUUAGCUUGCAAUUCACUUUAGUAUGGGCUUCUUUUUCUUCGUCUUAAUAGACUGGAAUUAAACCCCCCAAAAAAAAGUCUCUGUAUAUUCAAUGAGUAAAAUCAAGAUGCAUAAUUUAUCUAAAAUUUGGUAAAAAAUAAGAGAAAACGUGUCUAGUUUCUAUCAAUUAUACUAAAAUUCUUUAAAGAAAGAAUAAAUAUAAAUGUUUUAGAAGUUAAAAGAAAUAACAUAUAUCAAAAGUCUUAGAGAUUCAAGGGGUCGAGCAUUGAGUUAUUGUCAGAUUCUUUUCUCUCCUUGCAUCUUCACUUUUGGAUAUUGCCACUCCUCUUUUUGCUUUGUCCCCCAUCUUCACAAGCUCUAUCUUCACCUCCUUUUCGUUGCCAUCACUGAUCGCCCAUUGUGCUUGCUGUCGUUGCAAUCUAAGGAAGUCGAGGGUAGGUUCCAUUAAGAUUGCUUAGUUCCUUAUUUUCUUCUUUUGUUGACCGUGUUGCUCAAUAUCUAUCAAGCUUGCUAGAUCUACAUAUUCUUGCUUUUCAUGGUCCUCGUUUGAUGUUUGCCAUCAUUGCACUCGCCGGAUUAGCUCUCUAUUGUUGUCACUAAAUUCACAGAAGGCAAGGAACUCCAAUCCUUUGAAACUAACAUAAAGCUUAGCCAAGGACAAAGAAGAAAAAGUUGCACUUCUAGUUGUAGGAUGUUGAUUCGAUGAAGAUAGGAUACUAAUUUUUGGUUUCCUUGGGUUUUCUGAUUCUGAAUGGAACUUUGAUUUGUUGGUUUUCAUAGCUGGAUUUUUUUACCCUCUACGGACAAUGUCUAGAUUUUGCAUAUUUUCUUUUCUUAUUUUUUUUCUCUUUAUUUGUUUAUUAUUUUUAAUUUAAUUUUAACUUUUCCUUUCUUUU